This 380-nucleotide unclassified non-coding RNA is filed under the name uncultured Gemmatimonadaceae bacterium. RNAcentral's name for it is "contains 16S-23S intergenic spacer region". The record is from RNAcentral. Lineage: Bacteria; Pseudomonadati; Gemmatimonadota; Gemmatimonadia; Gemmatimonadales; Gemmatimonadaceae.
UCCGGUUUGGCACCGGCAGUCUCCAAUGAGUCCCCGGCAUUACUCGCUAGCAACACGGGGCGGGGGUUGCGCUCGUUGCGGGACUUAACCCAACAUCUCACGACACGAGCUGACGACAGCCAUGCAGCACCUGUGCACGAUCUCCGAAGAGGGGCUCUCGUUUCUGAGAGCUUGCUCGUGCAUGUCAAGCCUAGGUAAGGUUCUUCGCGUUGCGUCGAAUUAAACCACAUGCUCCACCGCUUGUGCGGGCCCCCGUCAAUUCCUUUGAGUUUCAACCUUGCGGUCGUACUCCCCAGGCGGGGUACUUCCUGCGCUAGCGACGGCACCGGGAGGGUCGCUCCCCCCGACGCCUAGUGCCCAUCGUUUACGGCGUGGACUAC